Molecule: unclassified non-coding RNA, 147 nt
Organism: Callithrix jacchus (white-tufted-ear marmoset)
Lineage: Eukaryota; Metazoa; Chordata; Mammalia; Primates; Cebidae
Rfam family: Metazoan signal recognition particle RNA
About the family: The signal recognition particle (SRP) is a universally conserved ribonucleoprotein.
Source: Ensembl
GCCGGGUGUGGUGGUGCACGCCUGUAAUCCCAGCCACUUGGGAGGCUGAGACAAGAGAAUCGCUUGAACCCAGGAGGCAGAGAUUGCAAUGAGCCGAGAUCGUGCCAUUGCACUCCACCUAGGUGACAGAGUGAGACUUCGUCUCUC